UUGAAUGAACUUGGUGCGGUUGCUGCUGGCCCUUUUGGGGGCAUGUGCACACUCACCAUCCUCAUCUCUCCACCUGUGCACCUCUUGUAGACUUGGAUAGACUUUCCGAGGCAACUCGGUCAGGAGGAAUGCUGCGCUCUUUGGGCAAGCUUUCUUUGUAUUUCCUGGUCUAUGUUUUUCAUAUACCCCCAUAGCAUGUAACAGAAUGUAACAUUUGGGCCCUUGUGCCUAUAAACCUUAUA
Molecule: unclassified non-coding RNA, 242 nt
Filed under: uncultured Agaricales
Lineage: Eukaryota; Fungi; Basidiomycota; Agaricomycetes; Agaricales
Description: sequence contains ITS1
Source: RNAcentral